GGCAACUUGCCAGAGUGGUUAAUGGGUCAGCCUCGAAUAUUUUUCUAGUUAGCUGAUGUCUUAGGACGCACAGGUUCGAAUCCUGUAGUUGUCG
This is a non-coding RNA of Tothia fuscella, 94 nucleotides long. NCBI's taxonomy places the organism in Eukaryota, Fungi, Ascomycota, Dothideomycetes, Venturiales, Cylindrosympodiaceae. The record is from the annotation of a GenBank genome assembly.